UGUUUUUAGGUGAUGAUAGCUCUCAGUGGCAGUUUGUUAGACGUUUCUAUACCCACCAGUCAGUCACUGGCACUCCAUCAUAUCUUGAAUACACUGAAAUCAAUAUACAGUUAACCAGUCGUGGUCACAUUCAGUCUCCUUAUCUUAGACUGUCCUAUCAGGCUAUACCUACCAAUGAUGCACAAGCUUCAUUUGUUGUUAGAUACAGUGGAGGAAACAAUGCUUUUAAUAUUGCUUUAUUACUAGUGUGUUUGUUACUCUAACUGCAGUCUAUGCAGGCUAGUCCAUAAUCGUAUUAAUAAAUAAUAUUUUAAAAUUUUGUUUUUUUAGACUUUUAUUUAUCUGGUUGUAGUCCUUUGUUCCAUGUUGUCCUUUUCGUUUUGUUCCUGGUCUCCAUUUCCUCUAAAUUUUGGUUGUUAUUCUACAAGCUACAAGUGACCCUUCUCCUAAUGCUCCCUCUCACCUCCCAAAAAACAACCUUCACACACUCCUGACUCUCUUUUGCUCCGUCCAAAUAAUUUACCUUAUAUGGAAACAGACCUCUGUUAGGAUAUUCCUCAUUGACUGGGAGAAACCAAAAGGGGCGGGACAGGCAAAGGACACAACUGUGCCCAUCACAUCAACAGUGAGCAUCUGGAGGACAUAUUUUGUGGCAAAUGAGUGGAACGAAAUUCAAACUAAUCGUAAAUUGAAUUCUUUUUGUUUUGAUGUUGUCGCUGCUGUUUCUGGAGAUUAUUGGUUUGGGCAAUUUUGCCAAGAGGAAUCCAAAUAAAAAUGUGACCACACCCACUGAGCGAUACACUGCUCCUCAUAGCUCAGUACUAAGGAUUGGACUGGCCAUUAUUGUGUACUUGUUGAUAGCUGGAUGAAAAGGAAAGAAUUCUCUAUUUAAAAAAUUUUUUCAGAUACAUAUAUGUAAAAAUUAUAACAGUAGCAAAUUUGAUUAUGUCUCUUGCAAUGUUGAUGUUACAGAGGAAUUUGAAAUGAUUGUAUUAUCUUUAAACUUGUCA
This is a long non-coding RNA of Amphimedon queenslandica, 1010 nucleotides long. RefSeq lists it as uncharacterized. The transcript has 4 exons. The record is from RefSeq and is a predicted model, not a curated record. Lineage: Eukaryota; Metazoa; Porifera; Demospongiae; Haplosclerida; Niphatidae.